GCAGAUUAGAUUUUUCUCUCCCUCCCCCUGCGAGACCUCUGUGUGCUUUGACGUCAUGUGUGCUCCUUUCAGUUGCCAUAGCAGCCCCAUUCCCCAAGCUCUCUGCCUGUCUCCUCUGGUAGGUUCCACAAUGGUACAGCCAGCAUCACGCUGCACAAUGGUUUCCAGGCAGUGAAAGAGCGUGAUUCAGCAAGCCACUCUUCCCCCCCUCCCCUUUUAUUUCAUUAUUAUCAGACAUUUUGCCUCCCCUUUUUCUGUUCUCUUCUACCCUCUUCCCCAGGCUUUUAUUCAGUUCUUUAAAGGAAUACGGUGAUUUACCUUGAAACCAACUGCCCAUCUUUUUUUUUUUUCUUUUCCUUUUUUUCCUUUUUUUUCCCCCCCUCUAUUGUUAUAAAUAGCCCAUUUUUUUUUCUUUGGCACUGUUUGGAAUGUGAUUUUAAAAAUACCACCUAAAGUCGCAGUUUGGGGAAAAGGUUUCUGGACGAGGAGAAUAGCUGGCGAGCAAGGAAUGGGCUAGUAUUAGAAGCCUGUACCAACAGCAGGCCAGACUCAAAUAUCAGCUAUGGCAACCCAUGCAUGAAGUUGAUGCCUUUGAACUAUUUCCUAUAGAUGAGACAUAGCACAUGCUGUGCUGUCUUCCACUGGGACAGAGGUGGAACUUCGACAGACUGCGUGUGUUGAGCAGUGCUCCCCAGAUUUGCAGCUCUCCCCAGGAAGACCUGACAACAAUUGCAAGUGUGUCACCUGGACAAAAUGUAAAACUUCGCUGUCAGACUAUCCUAUCCCUGGUAUUUAUGAGCCGCCAUUUCUUGUAUUAUUUUGGUGAACCUACUCUGGAUGUGAAGAUUGCCUUUUGUCAGGUGUGUGUUCCUUACAGGUAAAACAAGGGAUUUGGGAAACAAGUGGAUGUGUCAU
RNAcentral lists this long non-coding RNA (915 nucleotides) under Geospiza fortis (medium ground-finch). RNAcentral describes it as "lncRNA (ENSGFOG00000002499.1)". The record is from RNAcentral. Lineage: Eukaryota; Metazoa; Chordata; Aves; Passeriformes; Thraupidae.